Molecule: ribosomal RNA, 433 nt
Filed under: uncultured bacterium
Lineage: Bacteria
Description: partial 16S ribosomal RNA
Rfam family: Bacterial small subunit ribosomal RNA
Source: RNAcentral
AACGAACGCUGGCGGCAGGCCUAACACAUGCAAGUCGAGCGAGGACUUCGGUCCUAGCGGCGGACGGGUGAGUAACGCGUGGGAACGUGCCCUUUGCUUCGGAAUAGCCCUGGGAAACUGGGAGUAAUACCGGAUGAGCCCUUUGGGGGAAAGAUUUAUCGGCGAAGGAUCGGCCCGCGUUGGAUUAGGUAGUUGGUGGGGUAAUGGCCUACCAAGCCGACGAUCCAUAGCUGGUUUGAGAGGAUGAUCAGCCACACUGGGACUGAGACACGGCCCAGACUCCUACGGGAAGUAGCAGUGGGGAAUCUUAGACAAUGGGGGAAACCCUGAUCUAGCCAUGCCGCGUGAGCGAUGAAGGCCUUAGGGUUGUAAAGCUCUUUCAGCUGGGAAGAUAAUGACGGUACCAGCAGAAGAAGCCCCGGCUAACUCCGUG